GACGAACGCUGGCGGCGUGCUUAACACAUGCAAGUCGAACGGAAAGGCCCUGCUUUUGUGGGGUGCUCGAGUGGCGAACGGGUGAGUAACACGUGAGUAACCUGCCCUUGACUUUGGGAUAACUUCAGGAAACUGGGGCUAAUACCGGAUAGGAGCUCCUGCUGCAUGGUGGGGGUUGGAAAGUUUCGGCGGUUGGGGAUGGACUCGCGGCUUAUCAGCUUGUUGGUGGGGUAGUGGCUUACCAAGGCUUUGACGGGUAGCCGGCCUGAGAGGGCGACCGGCCACAUUGGGACUGAGAUACGGCCCAGACUCCUACGGGAGGCAGCAGUGGGGAAUAUUGCACAAUGGGCGGAAGCCUGAUGCAGCAACGCCGCGUGCGGGAUGACGGCCUUCGGGUUGUAAACCGCUUUCGCCUGUGACGAAGCGUGAGUGACGGUAAUGGGUAAAGAAGCACCGGCUAACUACGUGCCAGCAGCCGCGGUGAUACGUAGGGUGCGAGCGUUGUCCGGAUUUAUUGGGCGUAAAGGGCUCGUAGGUGGUUGAUCGCGUCGGAAGUGUAAUCUUGGGGCUUAACCCUGAGCGUGCUUUCGAUACGGGUUGACUUGAGGAAGGUAGGGGAGAAUGGAAUUCCUGGUGGAGCGGUGGAAUGCGCAGAUAUCAGGAGGAACACCAGUGGCGAAGGCGGUUCUCUGGGCCUUUCCUGACGCUGAGGAGCGAAAGCGUGGGGAGCGAACAGGCUUAGAUACCCUGGUAGUCCACGCUGUAAACGGUGGGUACUAGGUGUGGGGUCCAUUCCACGGGUUCCGUGCCGUAGCUAACGCUUUAAGUACCCCGCCUGGGGAGUACGGCCGCAAGGCUAAAACUCAAAGGAAUUGACGGGGCCCCGCACAAGCGGCGGAGCAUGCGGAUUAAUUCGAUGCAACGCGUAGAACCUUACCUGGGUUUGACAUGGAUCGGGAGCGCUCAGAGAUGGGUGUGCCUCUUUUGGGGUCGGUUCACAGGUGGUGCAUGGCUGUCGUCAGCUCGUGUCGUGAGAUGUUGGGUUAAGUCCCGCAACGAGCGCAACCCUUGUUCACUGUUGCCAGCACGUUAUGGUGGGGACUCAGUGGAGACCGCCGGGGUCAACUCGGAGGAAGGUGGGGAUGACGUCAAGUCAUCAUGCCCCUUAUGUCCAGGGCUUCACGCAUGCUACAAUGGCUGGUACAGAGAGUGGCGAGCCUGUGAGGGUGAGCGAAUCUCGGAAAGCCGGUCUCAGUUCGGAUUGGGGUCUGCAACUCGACCUCAUGAAGUCGGAGUCGCUAGUAAUCGCAGGUCAGCAACGCUGCGGUGAAUACGUUCCCGGG
RNAcentral lists this ribosomal RNA (1343 nucleotides) under uncultured bacterium. RNAcentral's name for it is "16S ribosomal RNA". It matches the Rfam family "Bacterial small subunit ribosomal RNA", at positions 28 to 1378 of the family's 1533-position model. The record is from RNAcentral.